GCUGCCGUACACGGUGGUGAUGGGCGUGCUGGGCUGGUACGGGGUCAGUUACUGGCUGUGAAGGAUCAACCGUUCAAUGGCUUCGGCAGCACC
Molecule: transfer RNA, 93 nt
Filed under: Pseudomonas fluorescens
Lineage: Bacteria; Pseudomonadati; Pseudomonadota; Gammaproteobacteria; Pseudomonadales; Pseudomonadaceae
Also listed under: 1 other name
Description: tRNA-Ala(ggc)
Source: RNAcentral